AUUGAACGCUGGCGGCAUGCCUUACACAUGCAAGUCGAACGGCAGCACGGGUGCUUGCACCUGGUGGCGAGUGGCGAACGGGUGAGUAAUACAUCGGAACAUGUCCUGUAGUUGGGGAUAGCCCGGCGAAAGCCGGAUUAAUACCGCAUACGAUCUACGGAUGACAGCGGGGGACCUUCGGGCCUCGCGCUAUAGGGUUGGCCGAUGGCUGAUUAGCUAGUUGGUGGGGUAAAGGCCUACCAAGGCGACGAUCAGUAGCUGGUCUGAGAGGACGACCAGCCACACUGGGACUGAGACACGGCCCAGACUCCUAAGGGAGGCAGCAGUGGGGAAUUUUGGACAAUGGGCGAAAGCCUGAUCCAGCAAAGCCGCGUGUGUGAAGAAGGCCUUCGGGUUGUAAAGCACUUUUGUCCGGAAAGAAAUCCUUGGCCCUAAUACGGUCGGGGGAUGACGGUACCGGAAGAAUAAGCACCGGCUAACUACGUG
RNAcentral lists this ribosomal RNA (486 nucleotides) under uncultured bacterium. RNAcentral's name for it is "partial 16S ribosomal RNA". It matches the Rfam family "Bacterial small subunit ribosomal RNA", at positions 30 to 507 of the family's 1533-position model. The record is from RNAcentral.